AAAUAUUCGAGGCCUGCAGACGUGGCGGCGGUGACUGACGGGUAGAUUUGUGCCAUUAAAACUCUGAUGAUUUCCAAGAAUCAGAGGGAAGCGGCCGGAGCCGGAGACGUGACCCCGCGGAGCCGGAGACCUGACCCCUGACCCCGCGGAGCCGGAGUCCUGACCCCAUAUCAAAUGAAUCAAGUGGAGGCAGCUUCCCAAAAUGAAGUCAAUGUUUCUUAAAUGAACUCAGGUGUUCCAACUUAAAGUAAUUAGCAGCCUACACUGACCGGCUGGUGGUGCAUUAUGGGAGUUGAAGUCCCCAGGACUGUUUGACUGCCUACUACCUGGAUCCACCUCUCUACCAGCUCUCUCUCUCUACGUGUAACCGGAGUCAA
Molecule: long non-coding RNA, 377 nt
Organism: Pseudoliparis swirei
Lineage: Eukaryota; Metazoa; Chordata; Actinopteri; Perciformes; Liparidae
Exons: 3
Source: RefSeq, a predicted model, not a curated record